UACGAAGGGGGCUAGCGUUGCUCGGAAUGACUGGGCGUAAAGGGCGCGUAGGCGGAUGGCACAGUCAGAUGUGAAAUUCCCGGGCUUAACCUGGGGGCUGCAUUUGAUACGUGUGAUCUAGAGUGAGGAAGAGGGUCGUGGAAUUCCCAGUGUAGAGGUGAAAUUCGUAGAUAUUGGGAAGAACACCGGUGGCGAAGGCGGCGACCUGGUCCGAUACUGACGCUGGAGGCGCGAAAGCGUGGGGAGCAAACAGG
This 254-nucleotide ribosomal RNA is filed under the name uncultured bacterium. RNAcentral's name for it is "partial 16S ribosomal RNA". It matches the Rfam family "Bacterial small subunit ribosomal RNA", at positions 524 to 776 of the family's 1533-position model. The record is from RNAcentral.